Camellia sinensis is the source of this 1238-nucleotide non-coding RNA. The record is from RefSeq and is a predicted model, not a curated record. NCBI's taxonomy places the organism in Eukaryota, Viridiplantae, Streptophyta, Magnoliopsida, Ericales, Theaceae.
AAAAUAAUCAGCACCUCUCCCCCCCUCUCUCUCUCUCUAUUUUCAGCGUUGCUCCUCUCCCCUCCCUCUCUCACUGCUGCUCUUCCUCGCCUUCGCCGGAAACCAGAGCACCUCCUCCUCCUCCGCCAUCGCCAUCGUCAUCGUGAGUACCGCCUCUUUUCACGCCGCCUCCUCUUCCGCCGAUCUUCAUAGAUCCACCGCCACCACCACCACCACGAGAUCCAGAGGCUUCAUCGCUGAGAUGAACUCUACUCCAUUGAUGCUCCGUCUCGCCUUCAUGGGAAGGAAGUAGUUGUUGAGUGCAAAUUUGAUGGUGACCGCAUUCAAAUCCAUAAAAAUGGGAAAGAUAUACACUUCUUCUCAAGGAACUUUCUUGACCAUCCUGAAUAUGCGCAUUCCAUGUUGGAUGUUAUCAUGCAAAAUAUUCUUGUUGACAGUGGAGACACUGAUGCAGUGGUUCCUGUGACUGCAACUCGAUACUCCAUUGAUGCCUUGAAGCUUCCAACUAUUACCAACUAUUACAAAGUUAGACAAAGUUUUAUUGGGAAUUCUAUUGGUUGGGGAAGUGUCCUUCUCCUUCUUACCAACUGAAGCAAGAAUAGCAAGAUCAUGAGACGAAGUACAUAAUGGUCCUAUAUGUGUAUUGCCUUUCUGUGUCUCCCAGUACAUAUCAUUCUUCCUAUGUUAGUACAAAGAGCCAAAAAGGCCAUCCAUGGAUCUUGCUCUACACUGACUGCACAUUAAGGACGCUAUCUAUAAAGUCGAAAUGAAAGAGCCGGUCACCACCACCACCUUCCCAGCUACUAGCCACAACUAGACUGGAGGAGCAGAAUGACCGUAGGACAGCCUAUGAUUCUUUUGGUGAGACUACCGAUCCAACGUCGCUGCCUGGAAGUUUGAGUCGCAAGACUAAAGAGCAAGACGACUCUGGUGCCAGGACAACAUCUUGUACUUAUGGAAGGACUGAAGAGCAACCUUCCCUCCAUAUUGUCCUCAAUAAAAGUAAGAGAACAAUAUCGAAGGGUUUUAUGGAAGGACUCGAACAAUGGGAGCUUAUAGUGAUGCCAGGACGACAUCUUGUACUUAUUAGUACUUAUUUUUGGAUGGUUGGAACUAAAAUGUGUAAUGGGAGUAGUUAGUUUUUCCUGUAUUAUGUAUGAAAUUAAAUUAUUGACGUUGGAUUACACUUGGUUCUUAUGGAAUUUGUAAUAAAUAUAUAAUUGGACGUUCAAUAUUAA